GGCAAUCCAUCCCACGUGACACCUACUCGCGCCGGCCCUGCUUGUAGCUUCUUCUAACAAAGUUUUAAAAAUAAAUAUAUUUUCUCUCCAAAAGCAAUUGGGUCUUUAACAGCUAACAAAAAAAAAUUAUUGUUUUUAUCAUUGACAUUUGUAACAUAUGAAGGAUGUUUAAUCAACUUUAGUGCCAUAAAAGUAGUGCAAUAAAAAGUUGCAAAUGCAACUUUAAUGCAACUUUUAAUGCAACUUUUUUAAAAUGCUAUUAAAUCUUUAAAACAGACCAAUUGAUUUAGAGCAUUUAAAGCAGCUAAUCUAAAGCAAUCCUUGAUUUACUAAAUGCUGCAAUCAAAAAUAGUCCUAAAUUUACUAAGCACGAAGAUGUAUAUGCAAUCUUUUUAUCAAAGGAUAAUAUAAAAAUUAACAACUACAUUAUACAAAAAUAAAUUCAGCUUAGACGACGACGGUGCUAUAACAUAUUUAGUUUUUUUUUAUAUAUAAUAAUAUUUAUUAAUUUAUUGUUUAGCCCAUCUUAUGAUCCGAAAUAUAAAUACCUAACACAAAUAUAAUACAUUUAAACAAAACACAAUGCAGAGUUGCUAAUUUCCAAAGUAAAUCUUUCUAAUGCAAAGGCUUUGAUACAAAUUCCUUUUCCACUUUCUGUAUUUAUACAUCAUUUAUUUUCUUUUUAUGAAUAACUGCAAUUACAUAGUUUGUUAUUACACCUGGAUAAGCCUCCUGACCAUCAAAUGUCACUUUCAUGACAGAAUAAAGUCUGGCUAGCCAAAUAUUUGUGGCUGGCUAACCGCCUAUUAUUCAUAGCUUGUUAGCUCACCUAAAUUAUGUCAUAGCUUGUUAGCUCACCUAAAUUAUGUCAUAGCUUGUUAGCUCACCUAAAUUAUGUCAUAGCUUGUUAGCUCACCUAAAUUUUGUGAUAGCUUGUUAGCUCACCUAAAUUAUAUCAUAACUUGUUUGCUUAUAUAAAUUAUAUCAUUGCUUGUUAGCUCACCUAAAUUAUAUCGUAGCUUGUUAGCUCACCUAAAUUAUGUUGUCAGAAGAAAUAUUAGUUAAGUUUAAAUUUUUUUUAAUUUAAGAAAAUUCUUGAAAUGACUGUUUUUAAGUCUGUUAUCUCAUAGAUGUGCAGAUAAAAGGCUCUUUAUCUUUAUGUAUUAACGAUUGCAACUCUACAGUUCUUUUGUACUUACGCACAAAGGAAUUCUUGUGUGAAUGCAUAUAGAUGCUGUAGCGCUAAACUUGCGAAAGAGAAGAUUCAACAGAAAAAGUGAACAGCUUAACAAUUUUCAGGUUAUACAGUUAUUAUUAAUAUGCUAAGAAAAUAUGAAAGUAGAGCUUCUAAAAGGAGAUUGAAGAAAAAGAGAGAGGAAAUGGUAACCAAAAAUAACAAAUUUUUUUCCAUCAAACCAAAUCAAUAUGCAAUUUCCACAAACUGUAGAAAAUAAUAAAAACAAUGAAAGAAAAGAUAAAAACAAUAACACGGAAAAUGAGGUAGCCUGCCUCGAUCCUUAAAAUAAAAUUUGCGAGGUUGAAAGUGUUGAAUCUACAAUGCGUAAUAAUGAUAUUGACUCAGAUACUAAUCUACAUGAAGACCUUUCUUUAUGACCAUUACAACUAAAGGAAAAUGAGCGUAUAAAGUAUUUAAACAAGAAUUUUCAACCGAUUACGACAAUGUAUUUGUCAAAAGGGGUUUUUACAAUUGGAAAAAAGCUGAACAAACUAUUUUGGGCACGAAAACAACUAGGAACAUAUUCAAUGUAUGAUGAAGUGAAUAGAAUUCAUAAAAUAAAGUACUCAUAUCGAUGAAUAUAUGGCAAGCCAGAUUAAAGCCAGAUUAAAGUAGCAGCUAUUUGUUUUUGAGCCGGAAGAGGUUUAACAUUGUGAUGUCAUAAUGAAGUUAUAUAAUCGUAAAAUAACGGAAAUUACUUAGGCGUGUUAGAACUGUUGACUCAAUUUGACCCAGUUUUAAAGCAACAUAUUGACACUUUUGAAAAUAAAGGCAAAGGUAAUGUAUCUUAUUUGUCUAAAACUAUUUGUGAAGAGCUAAUUGAUAUCAUGUCUCAAAAGGUUUUAACACACAUUAUUAGCGAAAUAAAAAAAGCAAAAUACCGAGGAAUUAUCUUAGAUUCUACGCCUGAUAUUUCUCGCGUGUAUCAACUUACUGUGAUAUUUCUUUAUUAUCUAAAUGACCACGUGUAUAAGCAAUUUUUUUGUUUUCCACAUUUUAAAACCCACAAUGGUGAAUCCUUAAUUACUAGCAUUUUAGAUCUACUGGAAAAAAAUGGUAUUGAUAUAAGCAAUUGACAAGCGUACAAUGAUGUAAGCAAUAUGUCUGGUAAAAUUCUGCAUUACAAGCACGUUUAAAAGAGCGCUGGACAUUCUUUAAACUUAGUACAGCAGUACAGUGUAAGUGAAUGCAUCAACUCUAUCGACUAUUUUGGCGUUCUGCAGAGUUUGUGGGAUUUAUUGAAGGAAAAGCAUGCUAUACUUAAGCGUCUAUCAGAUACACGAUAGUCAUGUAGGUUAGGUGCUUCAAAAAAGUUAAUCGAAAAUUUAAAUGGGAUUCAUGCAACGUUAUGUCUUAUAACUGAGGAUACAGAAGAAAAGUCUGAUCUUCGUCAUGAAGUUGUGUGUUUAUUAAAUAAGAUCACUAAUAGUUAAUAAUAACUAAGAGUUUGCAUUCAUCGUUGUGCUUUAGCAUUACAUACUUAUGAGGUUAAAUAAAGUUAGCAAAUUUCUUUAAAAAGUUGAAUUAGAUUUACAUACAGCAAGCAGUAUGUUACUUUUCACUAAUUGAAUUUGUAAAAAACUUAAGAAACAACUUUAAGAGAUUUGAGAAUGUAUCAAAAAAACUUAGCUCGUUUAUUAAAAAAAACUAUUCUGAUAAGAACAACAGAAAAGUAAUCAAAAAAUUGAGCAAGGGAGAAAACCAAGUUGAUACUUUAAACCUAUCUGACAAGUUUCAACUGAAUCCAUUUUUUUUCAAUAUUUAACAAACUUGUGACACAAAUAACUAUAAGAAGUGAUGAUUACAGCAACAUAAAUAAGUUAUUUGGAUUUCUGUCAAAGCUGUUAACUAUUAGUAUCAUUGAAUUGGAAGUUAGCGCAAAAAAAUUGUAGAAGUGUAAUCAAAUUAUUUAGACGAUAGUUUCAUUUUUUAAAUAGAACAAUUUGUAUCAUUACUAAAGUUGCAGCCUCCAGGUUUUUUUCUCAUAAAAAGAUAAUUCUGAAACUAAAACCACAUUGGUUCCUCUGCAUGUUUUAAGUUAGAUUGUUGAAACCGAUAUUAUUGAUGUAUUUCCAAAUUUUUAUAUAGAAUAUUGUUUGUUUCUAACAAUUCCCAGAAAAAAUUGCGAGGCUGAGAGAUCAUUCUCUGCUCAUAAAAGAGUAAAGAACAUGCACCGAUCAACAAUGCUCCAUAGUUGUUUAAGUAAUAUAGCAAGAUCAAUUACUAAAUUAAAAUUGUUAUAAACUAUAGAUUUCAGCGACGUGAUAGCCGAGUUUACGGAAAAGAAAAGCAGAAAGAAAUCACUUUACUUAAUUCAAUAAAAUAAAUAUAAAAUCUAAACUUAAAUAAAUAUCAGCGAUAGCUGUUUCAAAAAGUCUUUAUUUUACAAAUUUUUGUCGUUGCCCAUGAAAACGGGUUUUUUACUUUAAAAUAGCCCUGGGCCCCGAAAAGUCCUAAUCCGUCAUUGGAAAACACGACAAGUUUUGUGACUUCUCACUUACAAGUAGAGUCAAUUCUCGAAAUAGAGAUAAAAAAUUUUGAAUUUUUUGUAGAAAUUCUAAUUUUUCAGUAAGAAAACAUC
Hydra vulgaris (swiftwater hydra) is the source of this 3818-nucleotide non-coding RNA. The record is from RefSeq and is a predicted model, not a curated record. Lineage: Eukaryota; Metazoa; Cnidaria; Hydrozoa; Anthoathecata; Hydridae.